CAUCUGCCUUCUGAGUAUAACUAUUACACUCUCAAUGCGAACCGGAAGGCCUUCCAUAGCAGUUUACAUGAUCUUUUUUUUUGCCCAUCAUUUUUCAAUCCACCUCUUCUGUUUUCUCUUAUCUUUUCUUCUCCACUCUCCUGAUUCAACAUUCAAGUAUUUAUUAAAUAAAAAGUUCACUAGAUUGUCAGAAGCCAGUAAUUUUCACCAGAAUUAAUGUAUACUUCAUAUUAUUACAUUGUACUAACUUUCAAGACAAGCUCCAGGCAGUUUGAGGAAAUAUCUGCCAUUAAUUCCUUGAUACGGACAAGGAUGCCAAAAUCAAAAUGAGUGUUAUGGAUAUAAAAUUUCCCUGGACUCUUCAUUGUUUGUUCGUUCCAGUGUGUUAAUUUCUACUUUGAUCUAUGUGAUUGAACUAUUUGUUAGAGCUUAGCAAAGGAAUAAGAGAUAUGAUUAUUGUGGUUGUUAUUGUAUCCAUUAUUGUCUUCCAUACUGUCACCUCUGUAGUAGUGGACAUAAGUGUCGUCACCAUAGUAAUACUGAUAAUUAUUAUUGUUGUCAUAAGUACUGUAACCUGUAUAACUGCAAUUAUAAGUGGGUUGGAUCGAGCGGAUAACCACAGUACUGAUUGGUAUUGGUUUCAUGAGUGUUGUCCUCAGGAAUAGUAACAAAGGUACUUGUGGUUAGAACUACGGUUAGUAGUGGGAGUGGG
RNAcentral lists this long non-coding RNA (712 nucleotides) under Capsicum annuum. Its description in RNAcentral is "long non-coding RNA (CANN_LNC021981)". The record is from RNAcentral. Lineage: Eukaryota; Viridiplantae; Streptophyta; Magnoliopsida; Solanales; Solanaceae.